UUUCGUCCGUUCGCCGCUUAAUGUUUAUCUGAAGAUUCAUGAUUAAGAUUUAAUCUAUUACCGGUUUCUUAAUUCUAAUUUGCAUCCGUUCCUACGUAGUGUUUCUUUGAAGAUUAUAUGAUGAAGAUCUAACCUAUUGCCGGUUUUUAUCUGCUAGAUUCUGACUUAUGGCGCCAUGAUGCUUUGAGGAAUUUAAUUUUUGAUCGGAAAAGUUAGGGUUUGGAAUUUGAUUUGGGUUUCGAACGUGUUUCCUUCUGCAUCUCCUUUGAAUUACCAGCUAACAAUUUUAAUAUGUGGAUAGGUCGGAAUUAUUUAAUCUAUUUGUCCUCAAUCACUCGGAAUCUGCUUUUCAGUAUCUGGACAGGUCAAAAAUUAUUUGAAAGAAGUUUCCUCUGAUUUUACCUUUUGAUCUUUGUAGAGUUUUCUGGAUGGAUAUUUGAGCAUUCUAGGAGCUUGUUGGAGCACUGUGUUAUCAAGGAUUACGAAUGGGUUUGCUUGAAUUUAAUUCUUUUAAUAUUGGUGGAUAUUAAGUUUUAGGUCAUUGAUUUUCUAGGAAACCACCUGCUCUUUGGAUUUUGCAAAUACUAAAGCUGAUCACUGAUCACUGUUUAAAAUUGGGAUUACUUCAUAUCAUGGAUCAUCUUGUUCAACUUAUUAGAACUUACACAACUUUAUUUGAACGUUGUUUUGUUAGAUCUGGUUGCAUUCACUCCUUGCUCCCUCGUGAUGAUACAAACAAAGAUAUCAAAAUAAAUGAGUUCCCUUUGAUCCUUAUCCUCUAUGAUUCUCGUUCAUUAUAAUUUUUAGUAGUGUAGAAUAAACUAUUCGAGUAUUAACUGAACAAAAGCCUGAAGGUGAAAGUGAAAUGUGAUUAUGUUUUCAGCUAUUAUUUAUGUCUUUUUGAAAAAAAAAACAUGCAAGUGAAGUCGGAAUAUUAACGUGUUUUCAGGAACCAGACCGGCUUUGUAGAGCCAUGUGUUGGAACGCCAAUUGAACAAUGAGUUUUCCUUAUCUAUGCUAAUUUUUUUUAUUGGUUUUCCGUUUUCAAUAUAAUUGGCUUUUGACUAUCGGUAGUCCUGAUUUUACAGGAACGCUUAUGCUAGUGAUAAUGUGCUCACUGCGGUCAGGGAGUUGUAGUUAUUCCUUGUUUAUAUUUCUUGCAGUGCAUGUGGAGUUCUGUUCAGGCCGUGAGAUUUUUUGCACUUUGAUAUUGUGUCUUUCUUGUAUGAUGAAAGAAUAGAAGUUGGGACCUCUUCAUCUUCCUUUUCAAUUGUGUUAUCAGAGAACUGAUAGGGAGUCUCUCUCUUUUUCCUUUCCAGUUUGAAUUAAUUUUUAUUUCUGUAGUAAAAUAUUCAUGUCUUAUUAAUCAAAAACCUAUAAGUGUAAGUGAAUUGGAAUUGUAUUUUCAGGAACCAUUCCAGUUUUGUGGAGCUAUGUGUUGGAAUUGCACAAUGAGUUCUCUAAAUCUCUGUUGGUUUUAUUUUGUUGAUUUUAAAGAGUAUUGGCUUUUGACUAUAAGCAAUUCUGAUUUUACAGUGCAUCAGCUAGUGAUCUGAGAGGUCUGCCGUGUUCAUCUAUGGUCGGGGAGUUUUAGUUUACUUGUGUGGUAGAUAUAGAGUUUGUUUGGGAGUCUUUUUUUCCUUCAUUAUUUAUCAUCUUCAACCAUAAAUGAAGUGAAAAUGAGAAUUGAGUUCUCUUGACCAUCAUUUUUCAGGAUCUUACAACUCCCAUUGGUGUUAUCAGAGUAUUGAUUAGGGGGUUUCUCUUUUUCAGUUUGAAUUAAUUCUAAUCGUAGUACCAAAAACAGGAAGUGUAAGUGAACUAUGUUGUAUUUUCAUGGACCAUGCGAGCUAUGUGGAACUAUGUUUUGGAAUUCGUACAACUUCCAUUGGUGUUAUCAGAGUAUUGAUUAGGGGGUUUCUCUUUUUCAGUUUGAAUUAAUUCUAGUCAUAGUACAAAAAACUGGAAGUGUAAGUGAACUAUGUUGUAUUUUCAGGGACCACGCGAGCUAUGUGGAACUAUGUUUUGGAAUUAAACUAUGAGUAUUCCUAAGAUCUUUGCUGAUUAUUUUAUUUUUUUGGUUCUUGAAAAAUAUUGGUCUUCGAGUAUUAGUGGUCUUUUUGAAUUGUCUUUUCAGGAAUCAGUCCAGUUUUAUGGAGCUAUGUGUUGGAAUUGAUCAAUGAGUUCCCUUAAACCUUACUAUAUUUGUUUUGUUGACUUUUAAUAAGACUGGCCUUUGACUACUAGCAGUCCUAAUUCUACAGCUUGAAUUAUUUCUUCUUGUUGCAUUCAACUAUUCAAGCCUUACAAGUAUAAGUGAACUGUGUUUCCAUUUUCAGGAACCAUAAGCAGUUUUGUGGAGCUAUGUGUUGCUAUUGAACAAUAAGUUCUUUUCUCAGAUCUAUGCUGCUUUUUAUAUUUUGUUGAUUUUUAAUAAUAUACUGGCUUUUGGGUUUUUAGUAGGAGUUAUGAAAAGGGAUGUUCUUCUCUUCUUUUUCUGUUUGAAUAAAUUUUUUCUGUUGCGUUCAACUUCAAAUCUUACUGAACAAAAGCCUGAAAGUGAAAGUGAACCUUUUUGUGUUUUCAGGAUCCAUUGCCAAUUUUGUGGAGCUUGUGUUGGAGUUGAACAAUGAGAACCACAACAACUUUGUGGAGCUAUGUGUUGCAAUUGAACAAUAAGUUUUCAUCAAAUCUAUACUGGCUUUUGAGUAGUAUGAGUCGGGGGGGAAAGGGUGUCUCUCUCUCUUCUUUUCCUGUUUGAAUUAAAUUUUUUGUUGCAUUCAACUUCGUAUCUUACUGAACGAAAGCCUAAGUGAAAGUGAACUAUGGUUGUGUUUUCAGGAUCCAUGCCAACUUUGUGGAGCUCUGUGUUGGAAUUAAACAAUGAGUUCCCUUUAAAUCUUUGCUGUUUUUAUUUUGCCUGUUUGAAUUAUUAUUUUUUGUGCGUUCAACUAUUAAAGUCUUGUUUAACAAAAUCUUGAAAGUACAAGUAAAGUAUGCUUUUAUUUUCAGGAACCAUAGCAACAGCUUUGUGGAGCUAUGUGUUGCAAAUGAACAAUAAGUUUUCUUCAAAUCUGUCCUUUUUUUAAUAUGUCAUUAAUUUUUAGUAAUGCUGGCUUUUGAGUAUUGUAGUCAGAGUUACGAAAAUGGGGUACUUUCUCUCUUUUUUUCCCUGUUCGAUAAAAAAUUCUACUGUACUGAACAAAAGCCUGAAAGUGAAAGUGAACCCGCGCUGUGUUUUCAGGAUCCAGGAUUCAUGCCGACUUUAUGGAGCUUGUGUUGGAAUUGAGAAAUGAGUUUCCUUUGAAUCUUUUCUUUUCUUUUUUUUAUUUUGUUGUUAAUAGUACUGGACAUCAACUAUUAGUGUUCUUAAUUUUACAGGAAUGCAUCAACUAGUGAUCACGGAGCUCUGUUAUGUUUUCUUAUGGUCACGGAGUCUGAGUUUUCCUCUGUGAUUAGAUCAGCUCUGGUUUACCGUCUUUGAACUCCUAUUGGUGUUAUUAGAGUGUUAAUUAGGGGUUCUUUCUCUUUUCUUUUGCCAGUUUGAAUUAGGUUUUCUUGUCGCACUCCAUUCAAGUCUUGCUGAACAAAAAUUUGGAAGUGGAAGUGAACCAUGCCAACUUUGUAGAGCUAUGUGUUGGAGUUUAACAAUGAGUUCCCUUUAAAUUGCUGUUAUUAUUUUUUUGUUAUUUUUGUUGGCGGUUAAUAAUACUGGCAUUAGAGUAUUUGUUGUCUGGAUUUUACAGGAAUGCACCAGCUGGUGACCAGGGAGCUGUAGUGCCUUUUUUAUGGUCGGGGAGUUACCUGUGUGUUUAGGUCAAUUACUCUGAUUUUAUAAUGGUACAUACAUGAGUUUUGUACAUAUCAGGAAUUAUUUGUGAUUCUUAAUGUUUUAGGCUUCAUCCUUGAAUGAAUUCCUUUUUUAGGGUCUCCCAACUCAUAUCGGUGUUAUCAGAGUAUUGAUUAGGGAUGUCUUCUUCCGUUUUUCCUUCAGUAUGAAUUUAUCUGUCAUGUUGCUUUUAUCAUAUUAACAAAAUCCUGAGUGUACUGUGGUGUCUUUUUGUUCCAGGGUUCUAUUUUGAAUUCCUUAAAGCUGUUGUUGUGGUCAAGCACUGCAUCUGAUUUGGGUCAUGGACAUUAAUCCGCCACUCAAUUUUUCUUAUACAGCGUCAUGCACAAUUUGUUUUGUGAUGCUUACGUUCUUAAUUUUGCAUGUCACACAGCUACUCUCUUGCCUGUGGGCGACAUCAUUCGUGCAUCAACUAGUUGUACCUCCAAUGGUCUGUGUAUUCAUAUUUGGAAUUUUGAAUUGUUCAUUGUGUAAUUUUUUUUUUAACAAAUGUCCAUUACUUAAUGCACGUAGCUUUUCACAGACUGUCGUUGAUUUUGUCUAUAACCCUAUAGAUUUUGCGGGAUUUCAGGAGUCUGACGAGAAUUUUUCAGGAAGUUUUUAUGGUCUUGAUAUGAUAGUACAAGGGAUUUUGGCAAUACUUAAUUGGAGAAUGUGAUCAGGGAGUUUUUUUAUCUUUUCAUUGAGUGCCACAUAAUUCUUAGUUAAAAUGCAGAAAGAACUCAUCUUGAGAUGUUUGUCAUGUGUAUUUUCCAGGCCUUGGAAAAGAGGGACAAGUCUGUUGAACAGCUUUGACAGGAGGUUUUGUUCAUUUUGUGUAAUUUUUAUCUAAGAUUACUUGAUGCACAUAGCUUUUCAGACUGUCUUUGAUUUUGUCGUAGCCUAUAUGAUUUUGUGGGAUUUCAGGAGUCUGACGAGAAUUAUUCAGGAAGAUUUUAUGUUCUUAAUAUGGUAGUACAGCGAAUUUUGGCAAUACUGAAGUGAAAAGUGUGAUCAGGGAGCUCUUUUAUUUAUCUUUUUAUUGAAUGCGGCAUAAUUCUAGUUAAUAUGCAGAACUCAUUUUGAGAUGGUUGUCGUGUAUUUACCAGGCCUUGGAAAAGGAGGAGUCUGUUAAACAGCUUUGGCAGGAGGUUUUGUUCAUUUUGUGUAAUUUCUUAUCUAAGAUUACUUGAUGCACGUACCUUUUCACAGAUUGUCGUUGAUUUUGUCUGUAACCCUAUAGGUUUCAGGAGUCUGAUGAGAAUUUUUCAAGAAGAUUUUAUGGUCUUGAUAUGAUAGUACAGGGGAUUUUGGCAAUACUUAAGUGAAGAGUGUGAUCAGGGAGCUCUUUUAUUUAUCUUUUUCAUUGAGUGCCACAUAACUCUAGUUAAUAUGCAGAAAGAACUUUUUUUGAGAUGGUUGUCAUGUAUUUUGCCAGGCCUUGGAAAAGAGGGGCGAGUCUGUUAAACAGCUUUGACAGGAGGUUUUGUUCUUAUCUGACUAGUAAAUAUAAGAGCACGCCGUUUGGAUUUUUCUUUGUCUAACAUUCCAGGAUUGAGUCCGAGCCUUAUUGUGAUCGAACUGUGGGCAAGCAGGGGAUGUUCUGCUACUGUUGAUCAACAACCCGUUGUUUUGGAUGCAUUGUGCCUACAUGUGGUUCAUAUCAUCAUAUGUAAACGUCCUAUUCUCUUCAUCUCGUUUCCAGGGUUUUUCUGUUUGGGUAUUUUAAGGAAUUUUGGAUAACAGUUGAUGACAAGCUUUCUCGGUGGUAAGUGAAGGGUGCGGUUCCUUCCUAGUUUAAUAUUCUCAGCGUGAAUAGUCUGAAUGAAUUCCAGUCAUUGGUUCUGUCAUCUUGUAGAUCAUCUGAUUUAAGCAUACUAAACAAGAGUGAUUCUCUGUGCAGCAUUCUAGUUAAGGUAGUAUUUGCUGUCGUUAGCAUUUCAACUUGAUUUGGUUGCUACUGGCUACUGCUGUCAGCACCUCAACCCAAGUAUUAAACAAAUGGUCGAGAAUGUCAUGGGGUGAAGACCUUCUUUGGUUUCCUGAUUGUCGUUUCCUAGCCUGCUUAUUGUCGAGUUGUUUAUAUUCUGUUUGCUGAGGGGUUGUGCUUUUCUCUAUGGGUGUCUUCUGCUUGCCUACUUUUCUUUUCAGACGCUAUAUGCUCUAUGUGCAUUUUGGCAAUUAGUGUUAUGGAUGUGGAUGCUUAGUCGGCUGCUGGAUGUUUUUACCAAUUGAUGAAUGAUAUCUUGCAAAGGCUUGUGGAUUGUUAUAUCUUGAUUAUAGUGAUGUGGAUUCUUAUGGAUUUUUGCAACUGACACAUGCAUGAUUCUUUCAAGGAGCGGUGUGGAUGCUUUAGUUUGACUGUCGGAUGUUUUUACCAAUAUAUGCAUAUUUUCUGUGGUCUGGUUGGUGAUAAGUGACAACAGAGUUCUUUGAUAAUUUGAACUGUUGAAAUUUUGGAAUUUUAAGAAGAUUCUAUGCUUGUCUCUGCUUUUAGGACUGAACUACUAUAUCUCGUUGUCUCUCCCUAAUGUUUAAUUUGUAUGUCUAAUUUGUCUGUGUGUGGGUGUAUGCAUGUAACUCUGCCUGUGGUCUCAAUUACACAGCCGGUCCCAAGCCCGGAUUAAGGAGGAGGGUUGCAAUUUUUGGUGCUAUGUUUGGUUGCGGUCUGCACAUGUUUUCCUGUGAUCUUGAUUUGAGUCUGUCGUCGCGCAGGUCACUUGGUUAUCGGUCAUUGUUUGCACUUUUUUCUUGAUUUCAGGUCGCUAUUGAAUCUUAUUUGAAAGGCCCUCUAGUUAUGACCAAGAAAAAUGGUGUCUAUUGUGUACGAUGGUGGUUGAGGGAUGUAAAUUUCUUGACCUUGUCCUAAAGACAACAUGUUUAUUUGAAAUGCGUUCUGAGUGAAUUUGUACUCUUAGCAACACCAAGCAUAAUGGGCACAUUCAGGAAAGAGGUGCUUGGAAGUUUCCAGGACUAUUGAGGGGAAUUCUUGAUACGCACAUUCUAAUCGAUUGUUUUCAAGCAAGAAUUGAUAGAGAAUUUUUUUAACUUCCAUUGCUUUGAAGAACAUUUACCCACAUUCUAAUUGAUCGUUUCAAGCAAGAAUUUCAAAAUCAAGAGUGCACGUCCUAUCAUUUUUUUGAGUCUCAAAAUAUUCAAGGUUCUCGAGGUAAUUUCACUUUUUCUUUCUCCGCCACUAAAAUUGGCUAGUAUUUCUGUGGAGCUAUGUCAACUGUAAAAAGGCUUCAGUCACCGAUGCUACUUUCCUUGAAAAAGAUUAAGGCUUAUAUUUAAAUUUCAUCUAUUAUUUGCCUCUGGAACUUCUAGUAUUGCCUUGUAUUAAUUGUCAGGCGUAAAUUUAUAUAAUUUUCUCUUUAGCAAUUUUGUCAUAGAGCUAGUUUAGGGGGAGAGAUUCACCAAUUUGUUUGCGGCUUCAAUAAUUUUGCCAAAGAUGUGCUUAUUUUGCCUUCAAACUUAGCUGGCAUGGAAAUUGCUUUGGCUUUAGGGGAUUAUCUUGGUGAUUUCUCGAAGUUUUGCAAGAGAAUGAUAUUUAGUUGUUUAUAAAUUAGUAUCCUUUUAAUUCGGCACAAUUCAUAUUCUAGCGAUGCAUUCUCUUAA
Long non-coding RNA from Mercurialis annua (annual mercury), 7447 nucleotides. RefSeq lists it as uncharacterized. The transcript is spliced from 4 exons. The record is from RefSeq and is a predicted model, not a curated record. NCBI's taxonomy places the organism in Eukaryota, Viridiplantae, Streptophyta, Magnoliopsida, Malpighiales, Euphorbiaceae.